AUGCCUUUUUUCUCCACUCUCAUUGGAUAUUUUACCCUUUUGACGGAUACCCAUUUGGGCUGCCAAAAAGCAAAUUUAUAUGCUAAUUCACCUAAUUAUCCCUAAACCCCACGCAUUAAGUUUUUAGUUUUCUGGGAGCAAAAGAAGCUUGUGAAAAGUUUCCAUCUUUUUGCUUAACUGAGCUAAUUGCACAGAUCUGUAAACUUGGUACCUCUUCUUUUGAAGAUUAAACCUGAUUUUGUGAAGCAGGUUUCUUUUUUUUUUUUUUUCUUAUAAAAAGUUCAUAUCCACAGUUCUGGAUUUUUCUGGUGCUAUUAAGCAAAGUUGUUCCAGUUGUUUCUACUCUUACGUAAAGAACAAUUAGGUUUCAGUGCAAAUAGCUUCAUUUUGAUUUCUGCCUGAAUCUAUGGAUCUGUAGGCUUCCAGCACCCACUCCCCCCUCUCUCUCUUCUUUUUUUUUUUCCUGAAAAUAGAGCUAGCUCUGUGGUUGGGCAUUGUUUGUUGAAGCAGAG
Molecule: unclassified non-coding RNA, 512 nt
Filed under: Hevea brasiliensis (rubber tree)
Lineage: Eukaryota; Viridiplantae; Streptophyta; Magnoliopsida; Malpighiales; Euphorbiaceae
Source: RNAcentral